This 497-nucleotide ribosomal RNA is filed under the name uncultured bacterium. RNAcentral describes it as "partial 16S ribosomal RNA". It matches the Rfam family "Bacterial small subunit ribosomal RNA", at positions 28 to 507 of the family's 1533-position model. The record is from RNAcentral.
GAUGAACGCUGGCGGCGUGCCUAAUACAUGCAAGUCGAGCGAACAGACGAGGAGCUUGCUCCUCUGACGUUAGCGGCGGACGGGUGAGUAACACGUGGAUAACCUACCUAUAAGACUGGGAUAACUUCGGGAAACCGGAGCUAAUACCGGAUAAUAUAUUGAACCGCAUGGUUCAAUAGUGAAAGACGGUUUUGCUGUCACUUAUAGAUGGAUCCGCGCCGCAUUAGCUAGUUGGUAAGGUAACGGCUUACCAAGGCAACGAUGCGUAGCCGACCUGAGAGGGUGAUCGGACACACUAGAACUGAGACACGGUCCAGACUCCUACGGGAGGCAGCAGUAGCGAAUCUUCCGCAAUGCGCGAAAGACUGACGGAGCAACGCCGCGUGAGUGAUGAAGGUCUUCGGAUCGUAAAACUCUGUUAUUAGGGAAGAACAAAUGUGUAAGUAACUAUGCACGUAUUGACGGUACCUACUCAGAAAGCCACGGCUAACUACGUG